RNAcentral lists this unclassified non-coding RNA (375 nucleotides) under uncultured bacterium. Its description in RNAcentral is "contains 16S-23S intergenic spacer region". The record is from RNAcentral.
UCCGAGUUGACCCCGGCAGUCUCCUACGAGUCCCCGGCAUUACCCGCUGGCAACAUAGGACACGGGUUGCGCUCGUUGCGGGACUUAACCCAACAUCUCACGACACGAGCUGACGACAGCCAUGCAGCACCUGUGGCGCACCCUCGAAGGUCACACGUUUCCGUGCGCUUGCAGCGCCAUGUCAAGCCCAGGUAAGGUUCUUCGCGUAGCAUCGAAUUAAACCACAUGCUCCACCGCUUGUGCAGGCCCCCGUCAAUUCCUUUGAGUUUCGGUCUUGCGACCGUACUCCCCAGGCGGAAUGCUUAAUCCGUUAGGUGUGACACCGAAGGGCAAGCCCCCCGACGUCUGGCAUUCAUCGUUUACGGCGUGGACUAC